AUGAACAAGCUGAGUAGUUCAAUACCCGAGGCAGAUUUCCGGACCUGCAGAAAGAGAAAGAAGGGAGGCUCCGGAGGUCGUCAGCGUUCCCAGGCAGGAAAGUGGCGGAGCCGUACAGGACCUGUUUCACUGCAGGGGGAUCCAAAACAAGCCCCGUGGAGCAGCAGCCAGAGCAACAGCAGCCGCGAGACAUUGUUUCUCUCCCUCUGCCCCCCUUCCCCACGCAACCCCAGAUCCAUUUACACUUUACAGAGCAUCGUGCAACAAGUCACCAGGGUGGUACAUUCAAGCUGCAGAUUUGUUUGUCAUCCUUGUACAACAAUCUCCUUCUCCACUGCCACUGCAGGGAAGUGCAUCACGUGUCAGGUCACAGAACAGAAAGUGCUGGUGAACAUCUCUUCUUGCCCCAAGAUCUUCGUGGGAAGUCCUCGGGACUUGGUGUCUUUGCUGUGCAAAGUAUUUAUGAACUCGCCAGGAGGCAUAAUGUGUCACCAUUUUACUCUGGGCUACCCUAAAGGAUGACACCCAGCUUCAGAGACCUCCUCUUGGACGUCAUCCCUGAGAACCAAUGAUUUAGCUUCCCCAUUGUCUAAAAUCUGUUUCUGACUGGUUUUGAGCUGGCAUAGGCUUAGUCAUUAGUGGCCAGGACCCUGUUAAAUGUUCUGCUUGAUCUGCUUGCAGGGACACACCUUUUGUCACUUGCAGAGCAGCAACUCCCUCUUGAGCUCGUGGGGAGUCUUUACACAAAUAUACUAGAAAAGAGGCACCAAUCCAUUCUUUCCAUUUUGACGUUUGCCCACGGGCAUAGUCCUGGGAUGACCUGGAAUAGAGGCAGUGGAGGAUAAAUUCAUCUUGCACAGACUUGUUCGUGCCAGUUCUAGCCUGUCUCUCGCCACAGAUCUAGCUUUUAAAUACUCAAGUGAUUGGUUGUGUGUAGGAAUGUGUGGAUUGUUGGAUUGGAAGAAUUUUCUCCCUGGAUUUCUUCUGUUUACAUAAGCAGAUAUAAAAAAAAUGUUCUAUCACUGAUUUAAAUAGCAGGGCUUAUUUUAAAAAUAUGGGUGCUUCAAGGUGGCACAGGAUAAACAUGUAAAUUUUGUUUUUCUUUAUUGCAAGUUGUAACACAACCAAAAAGUGUAUAUUAAUGUGUUGUCAGGAAAGGGUCAAAAAGGAAAAUUUGCAACCAAGACAAACUAGAAUAGAACGAGUGUAAACAGAAGCUGACAAAUAUAUGCCCCUUGUUGGGAGUUCAGCCCAUGGAAUGUUAUGUAGGACAAAAGGAAUGGAAGAGAUAUUUCAGUAACAUUUUGUUCUCUGUCAGAAACCUUCUGAAAUAUAAAUCUGCUGUGUAUUGGAGAAUGGAUACAGCAAUUGAUUCAAGUUGAAUAGCUUUCAUUUAACAGGAGUAUCCCACAGAAAGCAGUUCUUGUUCUGACAACCAUAGUUUUGCUUUCCUUGACUAAAAGAAAAUUGAAUUCAUGUUUACAUAUCUUAUAGGAUUGUUUUACGGACAAAGACACAGGUCAAAUCCCAUCACAGUGGCUAGUAUUACAGCAAAUAGAAACAUGAGUAAAUGAAAUAAAAACACUUUUAAGCUGUGACCAGUGUCUACAGUAAUAAUACUAGGUUGGUAUUUUGAAGCCGUUUGCAACUAUAAAUAAUUCAGAAGUAGAUGUGCCUUUUUUUUUUUUUAAAGAAAUUCUGGGGUAUUUUUUUUGAAAAAAUUUUAGUCUCUUACUAUAAACACACACAUACACAUGUCUCACCUAUUUGCAUAACAGAGAAGGAAUAAUAUAUAUAUGUAGCAGAAGUCAUCCUUUACUUUAGACUU
RNA transcript from Galeopterus variegatus (Sunda flying lemur), 1828 nucleotides. RefSeq lists it as uncharacterized. Lineage: Eukaryota; Metazoa; Chordata; Mammalia; Dermoptera; Cynocephalidae. The transcript has 5 exons. The record is from RefSeq and is a predicted model, not a curated record.